Molecule: long non-coding RNA, 478 nt
Filed under: Astyanax mexicanus (Mexican tetra)
Lineage: Eukaryota; Metazoa; Chordata; Actinopteri; Characiformes; Acestrorhamphidae
Description: lncRNA (ENSAMXG00005005969.1)
Source: RNAcentral
UGUGCGUGCAUAUUUGUGUGCAGAGACACAUGGAUGUCCACAUACUGCGUGUUGAAGACGUACCAGAGAUGCUGGCACAACGGUCACAUGACCCAGAGAGAACUGCUGGACAGUGACAUUACUCAAUACAGAGUGCACUGUGAGUAUUUGCUGUUGUGCCUCUAUAAGGAGGACAUGGAUCAUGUGUUUACUGAAGACCCCAAUCGGACAAUCCCACGCUACAGCAGUGUGAUCUCUAAACCCAUGUGGCUGAACAGAGUGAAGGAGAAGCUGCAGAAUAAAGAGUACAGAACACUGAUCCAGUUUGUGUCUGACAUCCAGCUCAUCUUUCAAAACUGCCACAUCUUUAAUAAGGUGAGGUGCUGCAGUGCAAAUAUCAGGAACCACCAAACUCUUCAUUCUUUCUCUUUCAGUCAGAACACCUGCACUCAAAAAAAUAACUCAUUGGAUUAACUCAAUUAAAUUGUGGGCAGGAUUU